RNAcentral lists this ribosomal RNA (308 nucleotides) under uncultured bacterium. Its description in RNAcentral is "partial 16S ribosomal RNA". It matches the Rfam family "Bacterial small subunit ribosomal RNA", at positions 505 to 807 of the family's 1533-position model. The record is from RNAcentral.
GAGACAGCAGUCGCCGCGGGAAUACGUAGGGUGCAAGCGUUAAUCGGAAUUACUGGGCGUAAAGCGUGCGCAGGCGGUUAUAUAAGACAGAUGUGAAAUCCCCGGGCUCAACCUGGGAACUGCAUUUGUGACUGUAUAGCUAGAGUACGGCAGAGGGGGAUGGAAUUCCGCGUGUAGCAGUGAAAUGCGUAGAUAUGCGGAGGAACACCGAUGGCGAAGGCAAUCCCCUGGGCCUGUACUGACGCUCAUGCACGAAAGCGUGGGGAGCAAACAGGAUUAGAUACCCCAGUAGUCCCUGUCUCUUAUAC